GGUGUGUAUUUUCACUCAGAUGGUUGCCAGUACAAGGUUGUGCAGUGGUACGGAAAAAUGCUCACUGUUGACUGCAUAGCUGAGUGUGGGCCUCAUGAAGUUCAACUCGAGCUGGGCACGCCAUGCGCGGAGGUUUUACCAACAAGGGGCGCGCCUAACUUUGGAAGAAGAAAAUGCCGUAUCGGCCAAUGUGUAAGAACAGUGUGCACUUACAAAAGGAUGAGUGUUGAAGUUUGCCAAGUACCAUACGCAAGUUUUCAUCCUGGAUACCGUGGACGUUAUCGUGCAUUACUACAACGGUACAAGGAGUUUUGAGCCGCCUGUUUGUCGUGAAA
Long non-coding RNA from Rhipicephalus sanguineus (brown dog tick), 335 nucleotides. RefSeq lists it as uncharacterized. The transcript is spliced from 3 exons. The record is from RefSeq and is a predicted model, not a curated record. NCBI's taxonomy places the organism in Eukaryota, Metazoa, Arthropoda, Arachnida, Ixodida, Ixodidae.